GUGCGGCUCAGAGGAUCAGCAGUGUGAUGAAGUGCGUUUAAUCCCCAGGCUGAUGGAUCGACUCCUACACAAGUUUUUUGCCAUCAUGAAAUAAUUCAAAUCACUGGAGCAGCAGGAAAAAACAUCCCUUUCUCAGGCCCCCAGCCUCCUGACAUCCACCGCAGGCCCCGUUUCAGUGACUGUGAGCACCUCCCAGCAAGAGCAGUGACCUGGGGGCAGGAGAGUCCUGGACGUCCAUGGGCAUCCAAUGCCCAGCCCAGGCCUUGGAAACCUUCAGAGCAAGCAUCCCACCUGGGAGGCUUUGAUAAUUUCUUCUGUAGCUCCAAGCAUAGUGAACCCCUCUCUGUGAAGGAAGAACUGUCAGGCAUUCAAGGCAGAGCCGGCUGUGAUGGCACAACAUGACCCUCAGUCCACUGCAAGUCUGUGGCCUGAAUACCAGGCUGUAUUUGUUUGCCACUGCCUGCUGAAGCCUUCGACCUCAGCCUGCCCUUCUCUCCCCCAGCGCUGACAGUCACACUACGCAGAGGGACUCGGCUGUGAGUUUCAGCAAGAACAAAAGGAUGUUGUUACCCCGAGGAACUGUCGGUGGGCACAGAUGCAGCUGUGGUGUGAUGCCAGGAUUGCCAUGAGGUGCCCGAGCAUGCUGAUUUCCUGCAGACCCAUGCUGAGGACCUUCCAAGGGGGAAAUAGCUCUUGGCAGCUGCCAGCCCUGUGCUGUUCCUGCUGUCACGACAAGGAGAAAAUGCUUCACAGGACAAUGAGCUCAGCUCAGCGGCACAGAAAUACCUGGACACAACUGGAAAAGUUCCCUGGAAAAGGCACCGGGACAAGUAAAGAGCUUCUCUGUCUUGGAAAUCUUCACAGACAGACAUCUGAAACACAAGAAAAAUCAUCUGCAAACUUGAGUUGUGCAUUCCCCUACUUGCUCUAUCUGUCUUCCCAGGGCACAAACACCUUGGGGAAAUUCGGGCUUUGAGCCUCUGCAGGAUUUGCUUCUGGUUGUGUCCCAGAUGCCUUCAGCUCUGAUAGCUGCUCAAAUGUCAUUCUCCUGCAGUUGGCAAGGCCUGGGAGCGGGCUUCCAUGGGAGCAGGUCGAUUUACAUGGUCCACGGCCUUGAGCUCCCUUUCACAGUCUCAGGCAAGCCCCUGAAAGCAUUGAUCUUUGUCCAUACAACUCUGGCUGUGUUUGCCUGAGGAGGGCCGUGCAGCCCAGAGGAGCUCCCAGAGCCCUGGGACACCCCACUUUCUGGUCUCCUUACCCCAACCCAAAUCCUCCCAAGGACUCUCCCCUGAAAUACUCUAGGAAAUGCUCAGUUAAUCUCUUCCCGCUCAUUUAGAGGAGCAAGUGGUGUCUGUGGGUGGGCUGGGCUGGUGGAGCUCUCCCGCCCAGCAGCUAUUAUCCAGCAGCUCCUCGGGGGGGGGGCAGGAAAGCCACUACCUAAUCCGUCCCUGGGCUGGAUGGGUGCCUGGAUCGGCUCGGUGUGCUCAGACAGCACACACGCUAUACGCCCGCCUCAUAGGAGAGCUCAUGGCACAGGCAUCUGUCACCGAAACCUGUCUGCAUGAAAGGCUGUCUGCACAACUGGGGGGGGAAAGAAAGGCAUGACAGCACAAUUAGUGAGAGCAAAUGAAAGGCUGUUUGAAGAGGAGGAGGGAGGAAAGGGGAGAGCUGCACAAAUCCCUGGUGGGGUUUUGGGCUUGACAUCAAAACCCCUUAACAGUGUAUUACUUCAGCCCCCAAUGUGGACAGAUGUUGAGCUGUGGCUCAAAGGAAGUCAGAAAUCUUUCCUUAGAAAAAAAUUGGCUAGGAAACUAAAGAAAAUAUUGUGAAAGAAAAGGAAAUAAAAGCCCACUAAAAAAGAUUUAUCACUGC
Molecule: long non-coding RNA, 1872 nt
Organism: Cygnus atratus (black swan)
Lineage: Eukaryota; Metazoa; Chordata; Aves; Anseriformes; Anatidae
Exons: 6
Source: RefSeq, a predicted model, not a curated record